Molecule: ribosomal RNA, 650 nt
Filed under: Pseudoalteromonas arabiensis
Lineage: Bacteria; Pseudomonadati; Pseudomonadota; Gammaproteobacteria; Alteromonadales; Pseudoalteromonadaceae
Description: bacterial SSU rRNA
Rfam family: Bacterial small subunit ribosomal RNA
Source: RNAcentral
UAGCUUGCUACUCUGCUGACGAGCGGCGGACGGGUGAGUAAUGCUUGGGAAUAUGCCUUAUGGUGGGGGACAACAGUUGGAAACGACUGCUAAUACCGCAUGAUGUCUACGGACCAAAGUGGGGGACCUUCGGGCCUCACGCCAUAAGAUUAGCCCAAGUGGGAUUAGCUAGUUGGUGAGGUAAUGGCUCACCAAGGCGACGAUCCCUAGCUGGUUUGAGAGGAUGAUCAGCCACACUGGGACUGAGACACGGCCCAGACUCCUACGGGAGGCAGCAGUGGGGAAUAUUGCACAAUGGGCGCAAGCCUGAUGCAGCCAUGCCGCGUGUGUGAAGAAGGCCUUCGGGUUGUAAAGCACUUUCAGUAAGGAGGAAAGGUUAAGUGUUAAUAGCACUUAGCUGUGACGUUACUUACAGAAGAAGCACCGGCUAACUCCGUGCCAGCAGCCGCGGUAAUACGGAGGGUGCGAGCGUUAAUCGGAAUUACUGGGCGUAAAGCGUACGCAGGCGGUUUGUUAAGCGAGAUGUGAAAGCCCCGGGCUCAACCUGGGAACUGCAUUUCGAACUGGCAAACUAGAGUGUGAUAGAGGGUGGUAGAAUUUCAGGUGUAGCGGUGAAAUGCGUAGAGAUCUGAAGGAAUACCGAUGGCGAA